RNAcentral lists this ribosomal RNA (274 nucleotides) under uncultured bacterium. Its description in RNAcentral is "partial 16S ribosomal RNA". It matches the Rfam family "Bacterial small subunit ribosomal RNA", at positions 523 to 796 of the family's 1533-position model. The record is from RNAcentral.
ACACGGAGGGCGCAAGCGUUGCUCGGAAUCACUGGGCGUAAAGCGGGUGUAGGCGGUCUAGCAAGUCAGAUGUGAAAGCCCACGGCUCAACCGUGGAAGUGCAUCUGAAACUGCUAGACUUGAGUGCCUGAGAGGGAAGUGGAAUUCCUGGUGUAGGGGUGAAAUCCGUAGAUAUCAGGAGGAACACCGGUGGCGAAGGCGACUUCCUGGACGGCCACUGACGCUGAGACCCGAAAGCGUGGGGAGCAAACAGCAUUAGAAACCCUAGUAGUCC